This is a small nuclear RNA of Homo sapiens (human), 107 nucleotides long. The record is from Ensembl. NCBI's taxonomy places the organism in Eukaryota, Metazoa, Chordata, Mammalia, Primates, Hominidae.
GUGCUCACCUUGGCAGCACAUAUACUAAAAUUGGAAUGCUACAGAGAAGAUUAGCAUAGCCCCUGCACAAGGAUGACACACAAAUUCGGAAAGUGUUCCAUAUUUUG